GAUGAACGCUGGCGGUCUGCUUAACACAUGCAAGUCGAACGAACUCUUCGGAGUGAGCGGCGGACGGGUUAGUAACGCGUGGGAACGUGCCCAGAUCUAAGGAAUAGCCACUGGAAACGGUGAGUAAUACCUUAUACGCCCUUCGGGGGAAAGAUUUAUCGGAUUUGGAUCGGCCCGCGUUAGAUUAGAUAGUUGGUGGGGUAACGGCCUACCAAGUCUACGAUCUAUAGCUGGUUUUAGAGGAUGAUCAGCAACACUGGGACUGAGACACGGCCCAGACUCCUACGGGAGGCAGCAGUGGGGAAUCUUGGACAAUGGGCGCAAGCCUGAUCCAGCCAUGCCGCGUGAGUGAUGAAGGCCUUAGGGUCUAAAGCUCUUUCGCCAGGGAUGAUAAUGACAGUACCUGGUAAAGAACCCG
Molecule: ribosomal RNA, 418 nt
Filed under: uncultured bacterium
Lineage: Bacteria
Description: bacterial SSU rRNA
Rfam family: Bacterial small subunit ribosomal RNA
Source: RNAcentral